This is a long non-coding RNA of Symphalangus syndactylus (siamang), 3783 nucleotides long. RefSeq lists it as uncharacterized. NCBI's taxonomy places the organism in Eukaryota, Metazoa, Chordata, Mammalia, Primates, Hylobatidae. The record is from RefSeq and is a predicted model, not a curated record.
GGCCCUUCCUGCGGCGGCCGCCACCAGCCGGAAUAGCAACCGGCGGAGCCCGUGCGCACCGCAGCGCAGCGCAGCGCAGCGGCGGGGGGGGGGUGCGGGCGCCCUCGCCACCCGGCUACUACCGCCGCCUGGGCGCCGCCGCUGCCUCCCUUCCCCGCUUCUACCCUCCAGCAGACGCCCGCCGGGGCGACCCCUCCCAGAGUGACCAGGGGGAGGUGUUCCACGUGGCCAUAGCGUUUGCGUCACAAUGACCUGGCGGACAGGUGGGAGCCACAGCGUACACCCCAGGGUUCCCUCUCUGCUGUGCGUAGUGCCUGCUGCUUGCUUCCAGGUUAAAUUUCUGUAGCUUUAGAGGACAGGAGACUUCAUGACUUCAAUGCCAAGAAAAGUUACAGAGGCCUGCUGUACCUGGAAAUCAAGUAUGAGCUUCAAGAAUAAAGGCCAUGUUUUAAAAACAGCUGUGUAUGUAUAGGAAAGAACCAAACCAUUGUUUCUAGAGACCCUGCAGUAUACAGAUCACAGGAAGAAAAAGUGUUGGCAUAGCUGCUUCCUAAUAUUAUCUAUGUGGAAAUGAAACCUCAAUGUAGUAUGACUUCAUCCCUGGUUAUGUUAUAUAUUUAUAAAUAAGUUCAUUCAGUCGUCGCUGAAACAAUUUAAAAGGGCUGAAUGAUAGUUAUUGAGUAAUGAUGCAGACAAAUCUGAAAUCCUGCGCUAACAUGGAUGGAGUGCUAGCUCUGUGUCCGGCACAUGCUGUAUGCUUUAUAUUUAAUCCUUACAGCAACCCAAUACUGUAGAUAAAAUCAUUAUCCCGAUUUCACAGAUGAAGACACUGCCUAGAGUGCCAUAAAGAGAUUAUUGAGCAGGGAUUUGAAUCUGAACCAGGAGACUUAGCUUAAUCUCAAGAUAGCAUGGUGUCUUGCCAGAAUGGAUGGAGAAAAACUAUAGAAUAUGUUGACAUUUUAAUAGAAAGAUAAUAAGAUAGCAUAGCUCCAGAAAUUUACGUAACCUUUAAAGUUAUUCUUUGGGGAUUCUGUUUGUCAUAGAUUUGAGCCUGUCCUAGUCUUAACACAAAUUUUGGAGCUGAGUAAACAGCUCUUUAGUAAGUGUGUAUGAGUAAACAAAUCAUGAAUAUGGUCUACAAAAUAGUAAAUUGUUGAAAAGCUAAGAUUCAGGAGAAGUUUUCAGAGAGAAAAGCAUUGCUUAUAUAUAUUUGGCUUUUAUAAAAAACAUUCAAACUAACCUGUUAACAGCGCAAGCCAAGUGAUUUUGCUCUAUGUAAGAAAAAAACCCAAAGCCUUUAAAAUGAGAAAGUCUUCCUUACAAAAGAAAGAUUAAGAUAUUUUAAGAUACAUUGAUUCCAAGAACAGUAAAUUUAUGUGUAAAAAUCUAUUAUCGGGAGUUAAAAGGAUAAAGAGAUUAUUAUUCUUUAACAGAAUGAAGUGCCGUAAUGAACAUCGUAGGUGCUCAAUAAAUGUUGACUGAGUGUAUCAUCAGUUAAUUGAAGCAUUGAGAAAGGACUAAAUCACUUGAAAAAAGUUUUUCCUGACUCUAUAAUGUUCUCCUUUCUACCACUAGUGAUUUACCAGUUACAUGAAAACUUAAUCAGAAGCCCCGUUGGUUAAAGGCUGGCUCUGGGGCAAAUAUUUAAAUCUGUUACAAAACAGCCAGUAGAAUGGGAGGUUGUGUGUGUUCAAAGUAUCCCCUCAAAAUGCAGAUGAUUGGAACAAAAGCAUGAAGGGAAAAAACGGGGACAGCUGAGCUGCAACUGAUUACACAGUUUUCUUUUAUGCUUUCUGAAUUCCAAGGUGAAAACUGUGACUGUGAGUCUAACCUGUUACAAAGGCUAAAAGUGGCUUCAAAAGCAGUAUCUAAAAGAGAACAAAUACAUGAUAAAAGCAUUAUGUAGUCAACAUGGCACUGAAAUUCUUUGGGCUCCUGGAGAGUUUAGGAGAAAACCUUAAAUGAUUUUUCUUCAUUCUAAUUAUUGUCCUAACACUUAGGAUAAUAUUUGAGAAAGGAAAUAAUAGACAACUCCUGCUCGUUCUCCGUUACCACAAUGAGUACUUUUCCUUCCCCUUAAAUAAAAUGGCUCCAUCAAUAACACUUGCAUUUGUUUCUGAAUAACCAGUUGUUUCCAUCUUGCUGAACACCAGUAAGGUGCUAGUGAGAACCCGAAACAGUUUCUAAGGAGAAUGGCUAUUGAAUGAUGGGAUCAGAAAUUAGGAGAGAAAUAAGGUGCGUUUUCCAGUGUACAACAGGAUGACAAAAUUUUCUAUGAAAAAAAUCUUUACAUAUUCAAUUCAAUAAUUUUUUCAAGAUAUGCUAAUAGGACCACAAGAGUUGGAUUUGUGUUAAGCUACUAACAGAGACUUGGAAUAAAGGUGGAUUAAAUGAAAUAGGGCUUUAUUUUUUCUCACUGAAAUUGGAAGGUAGGCAGUCUAGGGCUGGUGUGAUCUCCACUGUGUCACUGGGCUAUUACCCUUCUGUCAUUCUAUUCUGUCAUCCUAGGCAAAGCAAUAUUGCCCAAAGGUAAACCCAGGUGAGGAUGUAAAUUGGUGGUGGAAACUGCUGGUGGGAAUGUAAAAUGGUGCAACCACUUUGGAAAACAGUCUGAAAGUUCCUUAAACGAUUAAACAUAGAGCUACCAUAUGACCCAACAAUUCCACUGCUAGGUCUAUAUCCAAGAGAAAUAAAAACCUAUGUCUACACAAAAACUUGUACACAAAUGUCUGUAGCAGCAUUAUUCAAAAUAGUCAAAAGGUCAAAACUGUCCUGCUGUAGACAAAUGAAUAAACAAAAUGUAGUAUAUUCUUGUAAUGGAAUAUUCAGCCAUGCAAAUGAAUGAAAUACUGAUAUAUGCUACAACUUAGACAAAACUUGAAACAUUGUGCUGCGUGAAAGAAGCCAGUCACAAAUAUAUUAUUCCAUUCAUAUGAAAGUCCAGAAUAGAGAAAUCUGUACAGGCAGAAAGUACAUUAGUGAUCAUUUAGGGCUGGAGAGAGUAUGGGUGGAUAGGGAGUGAGAUCUAAAGAGUAUGGAGUUUCUUUUUCUUCUUUUUUUUUUUUUUUGAGACAGAGUCUUGCUCUGUCCUGCAGCGUGGAGUGCAGUGACACGAUCUCGGCUCACUGCAACCUUCACCUCCCAGGUUCAAGUGAUUCUCCUGCCUCAGCCUCCUGAGUAACUGGGAUUACAGGCAUGCACCACCAUGCCCAGCUAAUUUUGGUAUUUUUUGUUUGUUCGGUUUUUGUUUUUUCUGAGACGGAGUCACACUCUGUUGCAUAGACUGGAGUGCAGUGGCAGGAUCUCAGCUCACUGCAGCCCCCAUCUCCUGGGUUCAAGGGAUUCUCCUGCCUCAGUCUCCCGAGUAGCUGGGACUACAGGCGUGUGCCACCAUGCCCAGCUAAUUUUUGUAUUUUUAGUAGAGACAGGGUUUUGCCAUGUUGGCCAGGCUGGUCUUGAACUCCUGACCUCAAGUGAUCCACUCGCCUUGGCCUCCCAAAGUAGUAGGAUUAGGAGUUUCUUUUUCAUGUGAUGAAAAUAUUUUAAAAUUGACUGGUGAUGUUUACAAAUAUCUGCAAUAUGCUAAAAAACAUUGAGUUGUGCAUUUUACAAUUCAUUGUGAAUUAGUGGUAUGGGAAUUAUGUCUCAGUAAAGCUGUUUAAAAAGAAAAAAAGGUGUUCAUAGUUUUAUUGGCACGCACACAUACAUGUGUGCACACAUGUACACAGUAAAUCCAGUAUCUUCCUCAGGAAUAGUUACAAGGUAAGAACCAUAGAACAAACC